UGGGGAAUCUUGCGCAAUGGGCGAAAGCCUGACGCAGCCAUGCCGCGUGGAUGAUGAAGGUCUUAGGAUUGUAAAAUCCUUUCACCGGUGAAGCUGUAGCCGGAGAAGAAGCCCCGGCUAACUUCGUGCCAGCAGCCGCGGUAAUACGAAGGGGGCUAGCGUUGCUCGGAAUUACUGGGCGUAAAGGGCGCGUAGGCGGACAUUUAAGUCAGGGGUGAAAUCCCAGAGCUCAACUCUGGAACUGCCUUUGAUACUGGAUGUCUUGAGUGUGAGAGAGGUAUGUGGAACUCCGAGUGUAGAGGUGAAAUUCGUAGAUAUUCGGAAGAACACCAGUGGCGAAGGCGACAUACUGGCUCAUUACUGACGCUGAGGCGCGAAAGCGUGGGGAGCAAACAGGAUUAGAUACCCUGGUAGU
RNAcentral lists this ribosomal RNA (415 nucleotides) under uncultured bacterium. Its description in RNAcentral is "bacterial SSU rRNA". It matches the Rfam family "Bacterial small subunit ribosomal RNA", at positions 355 to 794 of the family's 1533-position model. The record is from RNAcentral.